Molecule: transfer RNA, 75 nt
Filed under: Verrucomicrobiota bacterium
Lineage: Bacteria; Pseudomonadati; Verrucomicrobiota
Also listed under: 2 other names
Description: Verrucomicrobia bacterium (freshwater metagenome) tRNA-Val
Rfam family: tRNA
About the family: Transfer RNA (tRNA) molecules are approximately 80 nucleotides in length. Their secondary structure includes four short double-helical elements and three loops (D, anti-codon, and T loops).
Source: RNAcentral
GCGCGCUUAGCUCAGUGGUAGAGCACUUCCUUCACACGGAAGGGGCCGCAGGUUCGAACCCUGCAGCGCGCACCA